GGCCAGACUCCUACGGGAGGCAGCAGUGAGGAAUAUUGGUCAAUGGUCGGGAGACUGAACCAGCCAAGCCGCGUGAGGGAUGAAGGUACAGAGUAUCGUAAACCUCUUUUGUCAGGGAACAAAGGCGGGGACGUGUCCCCGGAUGAGUGUACCCGAAGAAAAAGCAUCGGCUAACUACGUGCCAGCAGCCGCGGUAAUACGUAGGGGGCAAGCGUUAUCCGGAAUUAUUGGGCGUAAAGAGUACGUAGGUGGCAACCUAAGCGCAGGGUUUAAGGCAAUGGCUCAACCAUUGUUCGCCCUGCGAACUGGGAUGCUUGAGUGCAGGAGAGGAAAGCGGAAUUCCUAGUGUAGCGGUGAAAUGCGUAGAUAUCGAGAGGAACACUCGUGGCGAAGGCGGGUUCCUGGACAUUAACUGACGCUGAGGCACGAAGGCCAGGGGAGCGAAAGGGAUUAGAUACCCCAGUAGC
This 467-nucleotide ribosomal RNA is filed under the name uncultured bacterium. RNAcentral describes it as "bacterial SSU rRNA". It matches the Rfam family "Bacterial small subunit ribosomal RNA", at positions 329 to 794 of the family's 1533-position model. The record is from RNAcentral.